This 62-nucleotide ribosomal RNA is filed under the name uncultured organism. RNAcentral describes it as "partial 16S ribosomal RNA". The record is from RNAcentral.
AAGGCUUGACAUCCUACGAACCUUAAGGAAACUUAGGGGUGCCCUUCGGGGAGCGUAGAGAC